AUACGGAGGGGGCUAGCGUUGUUCGGAAUUACUGGGCGUAAAGCGCGCGUAGGCGGAUCGUUAAGUCAGGGGUGAAAGCCCGGAGCUCAACUCCGGAACUGCCCUUGAUACUGGCGAUCUCGAGUCCGGGAGAGGUGAGCGGAAUUCCUAGUGUAGAGGUGAAAUGCGUAGAUAUGAGGAGGAACACCAGUGGCGAAGGCGGCUCACUGGUCCGGUACUGACGCUGAGGUGCGAAAGCGUGGGGAGCAAACAGGAUUAGAAACCCCAGUAGUCC
RNAcentral lists this ribosomal RNA (274 nucleotides) under uncultured bacterium. Its description in RNAcentral is "partial 16S ribosomal RNA". It matches the Rfam family "Bacterial small subunit ribosomal RNA", at positions 523 to 796 of the family's 1533-position model. The record is from RNAcentral.